RNAcentral lists this ribosomal RNA (1722 nucleotides) under Triticum aestivum (bread wheat). RNAcentral's name for it is "partial small subunit ribosomal RNA". The record is from RNAcentral. Lineage: Eukaryota; Viridiplantae; Streptophyta; Magnoliopsida; Poales; Poaceae.
AUGCCGCCGGACGCCACGCUGGGGCGCCACCUCGCCCGGCGCCUGGCCGAGGUCGGCGCCCACGACGUCUUCACCGUGCCGGGGGACUUCAACCUGACGCUCCUCGACGAGCUCGAGGCGGAGCAGCCGUCCGGCGGCGGGGUGCGGCUCGUCGGGUGCUGCAACGAGCUAAGCGCCGCCUACGCCGCCGACGGCUACGCCCGCGCGCGCGCCGGCGGGGUCGGCGCCUGCGCGGUCACCUUCACCGUCGGCGGGCUCAGCGCCAUCAACGCCGUCGCCGGCGCCUUCAGCGAGAACCUCCCCGUCAUCUGCAUCGUCGGGGGGCCCAACAGCAACGACUACGGCAGCAACCGGAUCCUGCACCACACCAUCGGCAUCCCCGAUUUCACGCAGGAGCUCCGCUGCUUCCAGAACGUCACCUGUUAUCAGGCAGUGGUGAACAACUUAGAGGAUGCACAUGAACAGAUUGAUACUGCCAUUUGCACUGCACUGAAGGAGAGCAAGCCUGUUUACAUCAGCAUCAGCUGCAACCUCCCCUCGAUCCCGCAUCCAACCUUUAGCCGCCAUCCUGUCCCUUUCUUUCUCUCCCCAAGACUGUCUAACCAGAUGAACCUGGAAGCAGCAGUGGAGACUGCUGCGGCUUUUUUGAACAAAUCAGUCAAGCCGGUCCUUGUUGGCGGACCGAAGAUGAGGGUGGCCAAAGCAAGCAAGGCCUUCGUAGAGCUGGCUGAUGCAUGCGGUUAUCCGGUUGCAGUGAUGCCUUCUGCAAAGGGACUUGUGCCAGAGCACCAUUCUAGAUUUAUCGGCACAUACUGGGGUGCUGUGAGCACCCCAUUCUGUGCUGAGAUUGUGGAGUCAGCUGAUUCCUAUUUGUUUGCUGGCCCGAUAUUUAACGACUACAGCUCGGUUGGGUACUCGCUUCUCCUCAAGAAGGAGAAGGCCAUCAUUGUCCAGCUGGACCGAGUGGUGAUUGGGAAUGGGCCUGCAUUUGGGUGUGUUUUGAUGAAGGACUUCCUGCAUGCGCUUGCAACCCGGCUGAAGAAGAACACAGCUGCCUACGACAACUACAGUCGUAUUUUUGUGCCUCAGGGCGAACCCCUUUCCUCUGAGCCUGGAGAGCCUUUGAGAGUGAAUGUACUUUUCAAGCAUAUUCAGAAAAUGUUGUCUGGCAACUCAGCUGUUAUAGCAGAGACCGGGGACUCAUGGUUUAACUGCCAGAAGCUGAAACUACCAGAAGGCUGUGGGUAUGAAUUUCAGAUGCAAUAUGGAUCAAUUGGUUGGUCUGUGGGUGCAACUCUGGGAUAUGCGCAGGCUGCUAAGGACAAGCGAGUCAUUUCCUUCAUUGGAGAUGGCAGCUUUCAGGUGACGGCACAAGAAGUGUCGACGAUGCUCCGGUGGGAACAGAACAACAUCAUCUUUCUCAUAAACAACGGGGGUUACACCAUUGAGGUGGAGAUCCAUGACGGCCCUUACAACAUCAUCAAGAAUUGGAACUACACCGGCGUGGUGGAAGCAUUCCAUAAUGGCGAGGGCAAGUGCUAUACGGCCAAGGUCCGAACAGAGGAGGAACUGAAGAAGGCAAUUGAGGCAUCCCUAGGACCCAACAAGGACAGCCUGUGCUUUAUAGAGGUAAUUGUGCACAAGGAUGACACUAGUAAGGAGCUUCUUGAGUGGGGUUCUAGGGUUUCCGCCGCGAAUAGCCGCCCACCAAAUCCCCAGUGA